UCCAUUGCUCCUAGAAGCAUCGCGUCGUGGAUCGGCUUUCUCCGUGCUCCGCCUCGUCGGCCUCAUGCCCUGUAGCCCCGACUCCCCAUCUGCCGCCUCCACCUCAUGGGCCGCCGGGUCCACCCUCGCCGUCCAGCUUGGCAACAUCUUUGACCGUGGUGGCGACGAACUCCGCCUCCUGCACCCCCUCCGCCUCCUCGCCCCUUCCGCUGAGGCCCGCGUCAGCGCGUUCCUGCCAUAGUCGGCAACCAAUAGGAGCGUAAAACUGGAGCUAGGGAUUGAAGCUGUUGCAGGUAUAGUGAAGUUCUGUUUUGAAUCCUAUUUUAGCUUGAUAAUCUUUCUCAACAUCAUGCAAAGAUAUGACAGCCGGUUUCCGUUCAAGAUUAGUAGCUGCUCUGCAUCGACGGUGCUCCUCCGAAUGCAUUUUUUAUUUACACAAUUUCUAGCUUGGUAAUCUUCUCAACACCAUGCAAAGAUAUGACAGCUGGUUUCCGUUCAAGAUUAGUAGCUGCUCUGCUUCGACAGUGCUCCUUCGAAUGCAUUUUUUAUUUACACAAAUGUUCUUAUUUGAAACUUCCCAAAUGUAUGUUACUAUGUCUCAGAAGUGCAUGUCUGGCCUUUUCAG
This 625-nucleotide long non-coding RNA is filed under the name Zea mays. RNAcentral's name for it is "long non-coding RNA (ZMAY_LNC002070)". The record is from RNAcentral. Lineage: Eukaryota; Viridiplantae; Streptophyta; Magnoliopsida; Poales; Poaceae.